Molecule: ribosomal RNA, 532 nt
Filed under: uncultured beta proteobacterium
Lineage: Bacteria; Pseudomonadati; Pseudomonadota; Betaproteobacteria
Description: bacterial SSU rRNA
Rfam family: Bacterial small subunit ribosomal RNA
Source: RNAcentral
AGAGUUUGAUCCUGGCUCAGAUUGAACGCUGGCGGAAUGCUUUACACAUGCAAGUCGAACGGCAGCAUAGAGAGCUUGCUCUCUGAUGGCGAGUGGCGAACGGGUGAGUAAUAUAUCGGAACGUGCCUAGUAAUGGGGAAUAACUAGCUGAAAGGUUAGCUAAUGCCGCAUACGACCUACGGGUGAAAGCAGGGGAUCUUCGGACCUUGCGUUAUUAGAGCGGCCGAUAUCUGAUUAGCUUGUUGGUGGGGUAAUGGCCUACCAAGGCAACGAUCAGUAGCUGGUCUGAGAGGACGAUCAGCCACACUGGAACUGAGACACGGUCCAGACUCCUACGGGAGGCAGCGGUGGGGAAUUUUGGACAAUGGGGGCAACCCUGAUCCAGCCAUUCCGCGUGAGUGAAGAAGGCCUUCGGGUUGUAAAGCUCUUUCGCAAGAGAAGAAAACUUGCUAUCUAAUAAAUAGUAAGCAUGACGGUAUCUUGACAAGAAGCACCGGCUAACUACGUGCCAGCAGCCGCGGUAUAAGGGCGA